RNAcentral lists this ribosomal RNA (490 nucleotides) under uncultured bacterium. RNAcentral's name for it is "partial 16S ribosomal RNA". It matches the Rfam family "Bacterial small subunit ribosomal RNA", at positions 30 to 507 of the family's 1533-position model. The record is from RNAcentral.
AUUGAACGCUGGCGGCAGGCCUAACACAUGCAAGUCGAACGGUAACAGGAAGCAGCUUGCUGCUUCGCUGACGAGUGGCGGACGGGUGAGUAAUGUCUGGGAAGCUGCCUGAUGGAGGGGGAUAACUACUGGAAACGGUAGCUAAUACCGCAUAAUGUCGCAAGACCAAAGAGGGGGACCUUCGGGCCUCUUGCCAUCGGAUGUGCCCAGAUGGGAUUAGCUUGUUGGUGGGGUAACGGCUCACCAAGGCGACGAUCCCUAGCUGGUCUGAGAGGAUGACCAGCCACACUGGAACUGAGACACGGUCCAGACUCCUACGGGAGGCAGCAGUGGGGAAUAUUGCACAAUGGGCGCAAGCCUGAUGCAGCCAUGCCGCGUGUAUGAAGAAGGCCUUCGGGUUGUAAAGUACUUUCAGCGGGGAGGAAGGGGGUAAAGUUAAUACCUUUGCUCAUUGACGUUACCCGCAGAAGAAGCACCGGCUAACUCCGUG